Molecule: long non-coding RNA, 1811 nt
Organism: Cephus cinctus (wheat stem sawfly)
Lineage: Eukaryota; Metazoa; Arthropoda; Insecta; Hymenoptera; Cephidae
Exons: 4
Source: RefSeq, a predicted model, not a curated record
UACCACGCCGACAACACCACUCUGAGCAACUGACAACCAAGAAAAAUGUCACGAGUCCACCAAAUGAUCCUAUGUACCAAACAACGGACCAUGGAUCCAGGGUAGUUUGUACUUCAGCAUCUUCUGGACAUACAAACAGAACUUUCAGUGGUAUCCACGUAUUCGCUGUCUUUUGAAACGUCUCCAACCUCAGCAUUGACUUUAAACUCAGAAUCAAACUCAAUGAUGCAUAGGACACCGUCGUUGUUUCUGUCAUCAGCAACCUCAGCACUUAUCUGGUCUACAGGUUUGCUGUUUUCCAAAGGUUCGUUACUCCUGGGUACUCUGUAACCCGUAUCAUCUUGCUCACGUGCUUCGCCAUGAAACAAUAAGGUAUGCAUACCGCGCUUCCUGCUAUGAAUGCGUGAACAACGUACGCAGAAUUUAGAUAGUACCGCGUGGAAUAAAAAGAGGAAAAAAAAAUUUACGAAGUAUAAGAUGGUAUUGCUACUGCGACUGUUUUACCACCAUCAACUAGCAUCCACUGUUUGGGAUCUCCUGGUGUGCGCUUGUUGAGUCGAUUACGUGAAUUAAAAGAACGACUUGAGAUAAGUGCACGAUUUCAGGCUGGUGUAGACCUUACUAACGUUUAUGAAACUUCUGAAGAAUGAAGAUUUAUAUGUAUAUGUAUAUAUAUAUAGAGAGCUCGGGGCACUUUUGCAGAGGUGAGGCUUCUUUGAAACAUUUGGAUCGUUUCCAAAGAACAGUAAAUAAUUUCUCCGAGCGAUAUUAUUUUUGUUUCAAUGUUUUCCAUUUGGCUCUAGACAUUAUUUUGCAGAAACGAUACACGUUUAUUUACAGAAGGCGAGAAAUGUUAACUAUUGAAAUAUUCUAGGCAGUAUUACAACACUGUAUAAUGCUCGAGGUAUGCCAUUGUGCUUAAGCAUUAACUAAAUGCUAUUCUAUUUACGACUCGUAAUAGCUAAGUGAACGUGAUCACAAUUGCGAUCUAUUGUAAAUCCUCAGUAUAAUCCAAACGAUGAUCUGCAAAGCCGCUAGACGUAUAAUUUACAUCAGUGACAAUGAGUUUUUGAACUUAACCUUAAAGAUCAAAAGUGUACUAAUAGAUGUGCCUGAGUUAAUAUGUAUAAUCCAAGAAAAAUUGUGCUUACACACCAGAUAAUUCCUCAGACAUAAGGAGCAAAAUGCUGGGUGAUCAGGUGAAAAAUUUUGUAUAAGUUGAGAAUGAUCGAUUUUUUAAGCGAUGUCAAAAUGAGUAGAAAACUUGAAGUUUUUAUUAUAACCAAAUGAGUAUCCAUUAUUCAAGAAAUAUUUCUUCGCUAAUAGGUAAUUAAAUCAGUCACCAAUGCGAUAAACACGUGACGUAAUUCAUCAGUAAAUACGAACAAUAAUUUGCACCUCUAUUUUAUUUCUUUCUUAACGUGCGCUGUUCUUACCAGCGUGUGAGAUUAUUCAUAUUCAUCGACAUUGUGCAGAUGGACAAAUUUUAUCAUAAUGUGUGUAACGAUUAAUAGUAUAGGCGCACAAGAUAGAUUAUCGAUUAUGAAAUUUAACUGUGACACAUUCACGAUUUAACGAGGUGUCUACUAAUUGAUAUUGUUCCCUGACAAUGAAUACAGUACAGUCUUUGUACCAGUCACUGUAUUAUUCCUUGUGGAAAUUUUCACAAACGAGCAUUUAUAUUUUUCGAUCGAAUUUAGAAUUUAAUCAUACGGAGCAUUCAAAAUGUUCUUGACAUUUGCUCUAUCAAGGAUUCUCGAAUUUAGCAGGAAAAAUUUAUCGUGAUAAUCAAUAAAGAUUAUACUAAAUCC